UGGAACGAAAGUCUGAUGGAGCAACGCCGCGUGAGUGAAGAAGGGUUUCGGCUCGUAAAGCUCUGUUGGUAGUGAAGAAAGAUAGAGGUAGUAACUGGCCUUUAUUUGACGGUAAUUACUUAGAAAGUCACGGCUAACUACGUGCC
This 146-nucleotide ribosomal RNA is filed under the name uncultured bacterium. RNAcentral's name for it is "partial 16S ribosomal RNA". It matches the Rfam family "Bacterial small subunit ribosomal RNA", at positions 372 to 509 of the family's 1533-position model. The record is from RNAcentral.